Molecule: ribosomal RNA, 460 nt
Filed under: uncultured bacterium
Lineage: Bacteria
Description: partial 16S ribosomal RNA
Rfam family: Bacterial small subunit ribosomal RNA
Source: RNAcentral
CCUACGUGAGGCAGCAGUGAGGAAUAUUGGUCAAUGGGCGGAAGCCUGAACCAGCCAAGUAGCGUGCAGGAUGACGGCCCUACGGGUUGUAAACUGCUUUUAUACGGGAAUAACGCGCCUUACGUGUAGGGCUUUGCAUGUACCGUAUGAAUAAGGACCGGCUAAUUCCGUGCCAGCAGCCGUGGUAAUACGGAAGGUCCGGGCGUUAUCAGGAUUGUUUGGGUGUAAAGGGAGCGUAGGCCGCAUGUCAAGCGUGCUGUGAAAUGUCCGGGCUCAACCCGGGCCUUGCAGCGCGAACUGGCGUGCUUGAGUCCGCGGAAAGCAGGCGGAAUUCGUCGUGUAGCGGUGAAAUGCUUAGAUAUGACGAAGAACCCCGAUUGCGAAGGCAGCUUGCUGCAGCGGAACUGACGCUGAUGCUCGAAAGCGCGGGUAUCGAACAGGAUUAGAUACCCUGGUAGUC